AUACUUACUGGCAGGAGAGAUACCAUGGUGAUGAAGGUGGUUUUCUCAGGGUAAGGCUCAUGUAUUGCACUCCAGAUGUGCUGGCCCCUGAGAUGUCCCAAAAUGCAGGAAAUGCAACUGUGUAAUUUGUGGUAGUAAAGGACUACAUUCAUACUCUCCCCUG
Molecule: small nuclear RNA, 163 nt
Organism: Onychomys torridus (southern grasshopper mouse)
Lineage: Eukaryota; Metazoa; Chordata; Mammalia; Rodentia; Cricetidae
Product: U1 spliceosomal RNA
Exons: 1
Source: RefSeq, a predicted model, not a curated record